AGUUUUAUAGUUUAACCAAGAAUAUUAAUUUUGUAAAUUAAUGGUAAUUUUAUAAUUUAAAACUA
RNAcentral lists this transfer RNA (65 nucleotides) under Pheidole oxyops. RNAcentral describes it as "tRNA-Thr". Lineage: Eukaryota; Metazoa; Arthropoda; Insecta; Hymenoptera; Formicidae. The record is from RNAcentral.